GUGCCCCCUCCCCAUUCCCGCGCGAUGCUGCCGCUGCCGCCGGGCCUUCACCUCCUCCUCCGUGAGGGGCUCCCUCAGGAUCCCCCUCAGCAUCCCCCUCAGCAUCCCCCUCAGCAUCCCCCACAGCGCCUUCAGCCCACGCCGCCCUUCACCUUCGCCCCCCGCCGCCUCCGCCUCGGCUCCCAACACCCGCUCUUCGAGGAUGGGGACGUGCACAGGCACCUCUACCUGCAGGGCGUCCUCACUAGCCUCGAGGAGGUGGCCGAGAGACCCAAAGUGUCUGAGUUCAGCUGCCACAUCUCCGGSUGCAGCCAGGUGUUUGACACACUAGAGAGCUACGAGCACCACUACAACACCCUGCACAGAAAUGUUUGCUCCUUCUGCAAGCGCUCCUUCCCCUCKGGGAAUCUCUUGGAUAUCCACAUCUUGGAGUGGCAUGACUCCCUCUUCCAGAUAAUGGCYGAGAAGCAAAAUAUGUACCAGUGUUUGGUGGAAGGCUGCACAGAGAAGUUCAAGAGCAGCAAGGACAGGAAGGAUCAUUUGGUGACUGUGCACCUUUAUCCGGCUGAUUUCCGGUUUGACAGGCCCAAGAAAGUGAAAAGUGGCUCCAAGCACACRAGCUCUCCUGCAGAGCAGGGCACCAGCAUGCCAAUGGAUGUGAGUGUGGAGACGGCAGAGCAAUUCCCAGUGAAUCCCAUGGAAAUAGGGCCUGAGGAGAGCAUGGAGAUCUCUCAGACUGCAGCCAGCCCCAGCCCCUUGCURUCAGAGAAACGGCUCUACAAAUCCAGGAUCCCAUCCACAAUUUGCUUUGGACAAGGUGCCACACGAGGCUUUAAAGGACCGAGGAAGAAAGUCUGAAGAUCAUUGCAGCAGAUUUGUGCAAGAUGAGCAGUCAUGGGGCUUGGUGCCACCAGGGACAUUUCCAGUUCCCACUCCAUGGAAUAAACCACCCAAACCAGUUAAAGCUCUGCCAGCAUUUGGGCACGGGUUCCUGAUGUCAGACAGAACUGGUAACACCUGAGUUAAUCCUCAAGAAAGGGGAACCCAGAACGUGUGGUGAGGUGUUAAGGAAACUGUCGUAAAGCUGAGACUGCAUGGGAUUGCAUGUUUUAUCUUUUGCCUUUUGGGGGAAAAAAUAGAUUCAAAAAGUUCCAAGAUGACAACAUGACUGUAUGGAAGCUGGAAUCAGUGAGAAAAGAAAAUGGAGGAAAAAAAAACAAAACUCAUUGGUCCUUAGUUCUGACUUUCUCCAUCUYGCUGAAGUCUCCUCUGCACCUGCCUUGAAAGGAGAGGUGAAGGAAUCCAUGUGACAGAGGUGGAUCCCACGAUGCCAGGCACGGAGGAGAAGCAAAGGGAAGGGUCGCAGAUGAGCCAGGAGCGUGCUUGACCACACAGCAGGAAUGAGCAGAGGAGUCAGUGCAGCUCCUUCCCAGGC
Malurus melanocephalus (red-backed fairy wren) is the source of this 1435-nucleotide RNA transcript. It is a transcript of the gene named zinc finger protein 511, with no coding region annotated. The transcript has 7 exons. NCBI's taxonomy places the organism in Eukaryota, Metazoa, Chordata, Aves, Passeriformes, Maluridae. The record is from RefSeq and is a predicted model, not a curated record.